RNAcentral lists this ribosomal RNA (500 nucleotides) under uncultured bacterium. Its description in RNAcentral is "bacterial SSU rRNA". It matches the Rfam family "Bacterial small subunit ribosomal RNA", at positions 29 to 523 of the family's 1533-position model. The record is from RNAcentral.
AUUGAACGCUGGCGGAAUGCUUUACACAUGCAAGUCGAACGGCAGCACGGGGGCAACCCUGGUGGCGAGUGGCGAACGGGUGAGUAAUACAUCGGAACGUGCCCAGUCGUGGGGGAUAACUACGCGAAAGCGUGGCUAAUACCGCAUACGAUCUACGGAUGAAAGCGGGGGACCGCAAGGCCUCGCGCGAUGGGAGCGGCCGAUGGCAGAUUAGGUAGUUGGUGGGGUAAAGGCCUACCAAGCCGACGAUCUGUAGCUGGUCUGAGAGGACGACCAGCCACACUGGGACUGAGACACGGCCCAGACUCCUACGGGAGGCAGCAGUGGGGAAUUUUGGACAAUGGGCGCAAGCCUGAUCCAGCCAUUCCGCGUGCAGGAUGAAGGCCCUCGGGUUGUAAACUGCUUUUGUACGGAACGAAACGGUGCUCUCUAAUACAGGGCGCUAAUGACGGUACCGUAAGAAUAAGCACCGGCUAACUACGUGCCAGCAGCCGCGGUAA